GAUGAACGCUGGCGGUAUGCUUAACACAUGCAGGUCGAACGGACUCUUCGGAGUUAGUGGCGGACGGGUGAGUAACGCGUGAGAAUCUGGCUUUGGGUUCGGGACAACCACUGGAAACGGUGGCUAAUACCGGAUGUGCCGAGAGGUAAAAGAGAAAUUGCCUGAAGAUGAGCUCGCGUCUGAUUAGCUAGUUGGUGAGGUAAAGGCUCACCAAGGCAGCGAUCAGUAGCUGGUCUGAGAGGAUGACCAGCCACACUGGGACUGAGACACGGCCCAGACUCCUACGGGAGGCAGCUGUGGGGAAUUUUCCGCAAUGGGCGAAAGCCUGACGGAGCAAUACCGCGUGAGGGAAGAAGGCUCUUGGGUUGUAAACCUCUUUUCUUAGGGAAGAACAAAAUGACGGUACCUAAGGAAUCAGCAUCGGCUAACUCCGUG
Molecule: ribosomal RNA, 435 nt
Filed under: uncultured bacterium
Lineage: Bacteria
Description: partial 16S ribosomal RNA
Rfam family: Bacterial small subunit ribosomal RNA
Source: RNAcentral